GACGAACGCUGGCGGCGUGCUUAACACAUGCAAGUCGAACGGGCCUGUCUUCUUUUUUGGGGGGUGGGUUGAGUGGCGAACGGGUGAGUAUCACGUGAGUAACCUGCCCUUCGGUCCUGGAUAACCGCUUGAAAGGGCGGCUAAUACGGGGUGGUCCGGUUGGUCCGCAUGGGCUGGUCGGGAUAGAUUCACUGUUUUUGGUGUUUCGGCGGGGGAUGGGCUCGCGGCCUAUCAGCUUGUUGGUGGGGUGAUGGCCUACCAAGGCGGUGACGGGUAGCCGGCCGGAGAGGGUGGGCGGCCACACUGGGACUGAGAUACGGCCCAGACUCCUGCGGGAGGCAGCAGUGGGGGGUAUUGCACAAGGGGCGGAAGCCUGAUGCAGCGACGUCGCGUGAGGGAUGGAGGCCUUCGGGUUGUGAACCUCUGUUUCCGGUGGUGAAGGCCCUGUCCGUGUGGUGGGGUUGACGGUAGCCGGGGAUGAAGCGCCGGCUAACUACGUG
This 500-nucleotide ribosomal RNA is filed under the name uncultured bacterium. RNAcentral describes it as "partial 16S ribosomal RNA". It matches the Rfam family "Bacterial small subunit ribosomal RNA", at positions 28 to 507 of the family's 1533-position model. The record is from RNAcentral.